AUGAUUUUUAUUUAACAUUCACAUUUUGUGGCACAAAACAACUUAGAUACAUGAUGUGUGAGGACCAGAACUUACUUUUUUCUUAUAUCUUCAAACCAAUUUAAAAAGAUGAUAACUUCCCAUGUUAUUUUGUGAAAACACCUUUUACAUCAAGAAUAACUGCUUGGGGCCAGCAAACACAUAAGCAUAUAUGCAAUAUACCCAAACAUUUGCCAAAUAGACUUAAAUGCAUUCUCAACACUCAAAUUCAAAUAUAUUUUUCAAGGUUUAACUCAAUGAACCCACAAAUAAUCAAGAUGUAUAAUAUAGAACACCAUACAAUUAUAGUCAUUAUCAGAGUAAAGCAGAUUGGACACUUAAUACAUAUUCCAUAUAUAGAAUCUUUUCAUCUUGUGAUUUCAACUCAUACCUCAAAAACAUUAAUUAAACUUUACAAUGUGGCCAGAUGAGGCAUAGUUAUUAUUGGCUCUCUUUUAACCAACCUAUUUAUAAAGGUAAAUAUCUGCAUAAAGAAAGAAUGCAAAUGAGGACUGGUUUUCCUAAUGUCCAUUUCUAUAAGCACCUCCCUAAAAAAGGCAGAGUACAAAAUGUUUUCCUCUUUUGAUCACAGGGAUUCCCCCAGGGUGUUAGGUUUUAGUUCUUCUCCAAACUUCUCAUGGCAGAUUUUCAGACAGACAGACAGACAUUCCUGGAAGGCUUGUUAUCCAGUGAGUGGGAUUUUCCUUAAAAAUGGGAGAGACAGCCAGGCUCUGUGGCACAUGCUGUAAUCCCAGCAAAUCUGAGGCUGAGGCAGAGGGAUAGCAAGUUCAAGGCCAGCCUCAGCAACUUAGCAAGACCCUGUCUCAAAAUUUUAAAAUAUUUUUUUAUAGGCCUGGGUGUGUAAGUAGCUUAAUGUAAAAUGCCCCUGGGUUGAUUGGGCUCAAUCCCCAGUUACUUAAUGUGUCAAGAUAAAAAGAACUGCUGGGUAAAAGGUAGUUGGUGUUUUGCUAUCAUUUUUUCUGAAGGACCAUCUUUAAAGCCUGGAAAUACAGACAGUAACCAAGCUGUAUUGAGAUAGUAUAUCAAAAUAAGGGUUUGUUAUGUGCUACCAACAGCAGUGGACUGUUAUGAGAUGGCUGAGGAAGUCAAACAUCAUUUUCCUAUCCUGAGGUUGUUUUAUAAAAAGGAACAAAUACUGAACCUAUGGUACUAAAUAAAAUGUGAACAUAACACAGAACUCAUAUUUAAUAAAAUAUUUUAUUGUCUAUGGAAAACUACUGCAUCAACUGAAGACUCACUUGGUACAUCAACCAUUUGAGUACUUAGACCCUUAGCUCAGAGAUUUUAACUGUUAUACCUCUGAACCAUCUAGAAAGCAGAUUUAAAAACUAAAAAUUAGGGAAAGGCCAUUUUCCCCAGGGGUCUGGGAGUGGGGAACCAGACCAGCCACAGAUUACUUCUCACUUUGGUGCUACCAAACACUUAUUAUGGAGUUGCAGGGCCUAUUUUAACCUUUUGUACAUUUUAUCAAGGACUUUCAGUCCCCCUCCCCGAAACCUGCUUUAAUGUUUGAUCUUCUAAUGGCAUUAAGGUCUUUCUUUUUCUCAAAAGCAAGGCCAAUUUAGGUUUAAAUCAGUAGUUCCCAACUCUGACUACACAAUAGAAUCACCUGGGGAGUAUUAAAAAAACCAUGAAUGCCCAGGUCCAAACCUAUCCAAUUCAACCAGAAUCUCUUGUAUGUAGGGCCUCAAUUAUCAGUAUUAAGAAUGUCAGGUGAUUCCAUGUGCCUCCAAGGUUGAAAGAACAAAGCUGCAGGUGAAAUAAGCAAAACCUGGUGGGGCUGAUAAACCCUUUCACACCUAAAACUUCAUAAUUUAAUGCCUAAAAUUUCACAAUUACUUAUUCACCCCUUUGGUAAAACAAUGUUUCCCUCUCUAGGAAUCUUUCUCAAAUUUAAAUUAGCCAAGGGACCUAGUUCUUCCCUUUAAGGUGAAUGCCUCUUGGCUAAUAAAGUUCUAAAUAUUUGGACAGCCUUCACGCCUAUAAUCCCAGCUACUCAGAAGGCUGACAAAGGAGGGUUGGAAUUUCAAGGUCAUCUUUGGCAAUUUUGUGAGACCCCCUUAGAAAAACAGUCCUAAGUGCCUGAAGGUAAACCCUAGUAGAAGGGGCUGCAAUGGGGAGUGGGGAAAAGUAAGAUUACCUACAAGGAAGGAAGGAUUUCUGAGAGUCCAUUUUGCUAACUUCACAGUAUUACUGCCUAGUGCCAAGCCUGCUCUGUAAUGAGUAUAUACUUAAAGGUCUAGUCAAGUCUGACAGCUUAUCUCAACUGCCAAAAUUAUGUUAAAGUAAAUUUUACAUAUUUUUCAUAAGUAAAGCAAAGAGUAGACAUUAGGAAUAUAGGUUUAGAGCUCUCUGAUAAAUGCCCACCUUCUGAAUUACCACUCACCAUAUGGAAGUUUCCAUUACCAAGUUAUCUAUUUUUCCUGAUUCUGUUAAAUGCCCUUUAUUCCUACAAACAGCAUUAUUUCUCUUGCCAAUUCAUUUAGUCAUUCAACAAAAAUGUAUUGAGCAAGUACUCUCAGCAAGGCAUGGCGCUAGAUGCCAUGAGGAAAUACUGAACCAAUACAAAAUUCCAUUGGUAGUUGAUGUUAGUUUUUCAAAGCACUUUCACAUACAAUUUUAUUUUAUCCUCAUAGUAACACAUGAGAUAGGUGAAGUAUCAUCCCCAUUUUACAGAUGAGAAACAGGUUCAGCAAAGGACACACAAAUUAUUUACCAAAGUCACAAAGCAAUGUACAGACGAUUUAAAUCCAGUUAUUCACUAACUUCAAAUAUAGUGCCUUUCAUAGCUAACAAUUUAAUAAGACAUGUCAUAUAACAGUCUUAAGUGGCAAAAAGUUAGGAAAAGGCAUUUAGAGCCCCACCCACCAGGAGAACAAAAAUGAGGAAUAAAGUAAAUCCUUUAUUGAGAUGAGCCAAAUCACAAGGCCCAAAAGGAAACCAAGCUUAGAUGAAGUUCAGGCCAUCAUCUAGAAGGCAGGACAAAGUAGCAGGCAAUGCACAUUUCAGGAUAGAGGAGCAUUUUGGAGUAUCAGUUUCUAGAGUAUCAGUCCAUUCCGUGGCUGAUCUUCACAGGACAUAGAAAGCAGCUCCUUCUCCUGGCUAAAUCCAGGCAAACACUGAACAAACCUUGCCUGAAGACCCGUUAUGAUCCAGUCGCUGAGCAUACAGAGACAACCCUUGACCUCAAUGGUUCUCAAUUGGCUUAGUGGGUGAGGCAGACAAUUACAAGACAGAGUAAUAAAGGCUACUAUGGGAACAUAAAGGAGGACACCUGGCCCAGCCUAGUAGAGAGGGUGGGACAGAAAAGAGGAAGGGGAGGGAGUUAAGAAUUACUUCCAGAAAAAGAAAUUCAAUUUAAAGCCUGGAGGGUGGGCAGGAAUUAGAAGGCUAGGGAAGUGAAAUGGAGCCUAGAGCACAAAGAAGGAAGACAGGGAGUGCAUUUAAGUCCUAAGGGUAAAAGAGUCAUAUUCAGGAAAUUGUAAGGAGACCAGUUUAUUAGGACAUAACUUCAGUCCUAACCAGACUCUGGAAAGCUAAAGAGGAAAAUAAAGAAAGCAUCCAGCCAGAUUGUGAGUUCAAAGCCAGUCUCAGCAAAAGCGAAGCACUAAGCAACUCAGUGAAACCCUGUCUCUAAAUAAAAUACAGAAUAGGGCUGGGGAUGUGGCUCAGUGAUGGAGUGCCCCUAAGUUCAAUCACUGGUACCCUCCCCCCCAAAAAAAAAGAAAGCAUCCAAGGGCUGGGGCUGUAACUUAGUGACAGAGUGCUUGCCUAGCAUAUGUUGAGGCUUUGGGAUUCAUCCUUAGCAUCACAUAAAAAUGAACAAAUAAAAUAAAGGCAUGCUGACUAUACACAACUACAAAAAAAUUUUUUUAAAAAGAAAGCAUCCAAGUCUCAAAUCUUGUACGUCAAUUCCUAGGCCUCUUAGUACCAAAUAUUACUCAUACCGUAUUUGCUGUUGGAGCUGUGGCUAUUGAUAAUACUUCCUGCCUUGAGCCAUACUGGUUUAAGAAAUAGACUUAAGGUUGGGCUCAGCCAUAGAAAUAGCUGAGACCCGG
This 4097-nucleotide long non-coding RNA is filed under the name Marmota monax (woodchuck). The record is from RNAcentral. Lineage: Eukaryota; Metazoa; Chordata; Mammalia; Rodentia; Sciuridae.